AGGACGAACGCUGGCGGCAUGCCUAACACAUGCAAGUCGAACGAGACCGCUGACUUCGGUUGGCGCGUCUAGUGGCGCACGGGUGCGUAACGCGUGGGAAUCUGCCCUUGGGUACGGAAUAACAGUUAGAAAUGACUGCUAAUACCGUAUAAUGACUUCGGUCCAAAGAUUUAUCGCCCAGGGAUGAGCCCGCGUAGGAUUAGCUUGUUGGUGAGGUAAAAGCUCACCAAGGCGACGAUCCUUAGCUGGUCUGAGAGGAUGAUCAGCCACACUGGGACUGAGACACGGCCCAGACUCCUACGGGAGGCAGCAGUGGGGAAUAUUGGACAAUGGGCGAAAGCCUGAUCCAGCAAUGCCGCGUGAGUGAUGAAGGCCUUAGGGUUGUAAAGCUCUUUUGCCCGGGAUGAUAAUGACAGUACCGGAGAAUAAGCUCCGGCUAACUCCGUGCCAGCAGCCGC
This 458-nucleotide ribosomal RNA is filed under the name uncultured bacterium. RNAcentral's name for it is "SSU rRNA". It matches the Rfam family "Bacterial small subunit ribosomal RNA", at positions 26 to 518 of the family's 1533-position model. The record is from RNAcentral.